Molecule: ribosomal RNA, 497 nt
Filed under: uncultured bacterium
Lineage: Bacteria
Description: partial 16S ribosomal RNA
Rfam family: Bacterial small subunit ribosomal RNA
Source: RNAcentral
GACGAACGCUGGCGGCGUGCCUAAUACAUGCAAGUAGAACGCUGAAGCUUGGUGCUUGCCCCGAGCGGAUGAGUUGCGAACGGGUGAGUAACGCGUAGGUAACCUGCCUGGUAGCGGGGGAUAACUAUUGGAAACGAUAGCUAAUACCGCAUAAUAGUAGAUGUUGCAUGACAUUUGCUUAAAAGGUGCAAUUGCAUCACUACCAGAUGGACCUGCGUUGUAUUAGCUAGUUGGUGAGGUAACGGCUCACCAAGGCAACGAUACAUAGCCGACCUGAGAGGGUGAUCGGCCACACUGGGACUGAGACACGGCCCAGACUCCUACGGGAGGCAGCAGUAGGGAAUCGUAGGCAAUGGACGGAAGUCUGACCGAGCAACGCCGCGGGAGUGAAGAAGGUUUUCGGAUCGUAAAGCUCUGUUGUAAGAGAAGAACGAGUGUGAGAGUGGAAAGUUCACACUGUGACGGUAUCUUACCAGAAAGGGACGGCUAACUACGUG